CAAAAAAAAUAAAAAUACCACUGAAGUCAAUGAAAUAAAAGUAGUGAUAAACAAGCUGAGAGAGGAACAUGAGCUAGAAAGGGCAUCUGACAUAACCAGCAGGGGGAACACCUUCUGUGCUCACCUCAGGAGCCCAGAAAAAUGAUGGCACUGGAGUUAAUUGAAGCCUAGUUCCUAAUGACUCUGCUGUGACUGCCCCCAUCUCCCCACAGUGCCCCACUUCCAUCCCACAUUUCCCUGCUCCUCAGCAUGUAGCCAGUGGUCCCACAGCGCAAGAGACAGCACGUGCUGGUAUACAUGAGGUGACUGGGUGGAGAAACUGAAACACAAAGGGAAGAAAUGCUGCCCAUGGUUAUAUGGCAUGCCGAUGGCAGAGGGUGUUGUAAGCACUUUUACCCGAAUGCCAUGCUAUUUUACAUGGAGGGGACUGCCAUCAGUUACCACAGCAGUGUAUUACAGCCAAAUGGGUCUGACAAUAUAAAGGAGAUUUGCAUUAAUAUUUCAUCUGAUGUCUUAAUCGGCUGUUGAUAAAUAUAAAUAUUUGACCCUGGAAGUCUUCGGUUGCAUCAUGUCAAAAUCUUCCUGUUUCUAGGAUUUUGUUGUUCAGCUUCAUGGGAUUUUUAGUUAAUGAUCUCAGUGUGGAAAUUCUUCUUCUGCAGCAUGUAUGAAAUAAAUGAUAUUGUUCUCAUUUGGACUCUGCA
This 701-nucleotide long non-coding RNA is filed under the name Anas platyrhynchos platyrhynchos (common mallard). Its description in RNAcentral is "lncRNA (ENSAPLG00000028628.1)". The record is from RNAcentral. Lineage: Eukaryota; Metazoa; Chordata; Aves; Anseriformes; Anatidae.